GGGAUAACAGGCUGAUACCGCCCAAGAGUUCAUAUCGACGGCGGUGUUUGGCACCUCGAUGUCGGCUCAUCACAUCCUGGGGCUGAAGUAGGUCCCAAGGGUACGGCUGUUCGCCGUUUAAAGUGGUACGCGAGCUGGGUUUAGAACGUCGUGAGACAGUUCGGUCCCUAUCUGCCAUGGGCGUAGGAAAAUUGAGAGGGUUUGCUUCUAGUACGAGAGGACCGAAGUGAACGCACCGCUGGUGUUCGGGUUGUGAUGCCAAUUGCAUUGCCCGGUAGCUACGUGCGGAAUAGAUAAGUGCUGAAAGCAUCUAAGUACGAAACUAGCCUCGAGAUGAGUUUUCCCUGAAGAGAUUCAGUAAGGUCCGUUUGAGACUAAGACGUAGAUAGGUCAGGUGUGUAAGUGUAGUGAUACAUUGAGCUAACUGAUACUAAUGAACCGAGAGUCUUAACCUUACAACUC
Molecule: ribosomal RNA, 462 nt
Filed under: Gilliamella apicola
Lineage: Bacteria; Pseudomonadati; Pseudomonadota; Gammaproteobacteria; Orbales; Orbaceae
Also listed under: 1 other name
Description: bacterial LSU rRNA
Rfam family: Bacterial large subunit ribosomal RNA
Source: RNAcentral